GGCCACAUCACGUUGAAACACCGGUUCCUGUAUGAUCACCAAAGUUAAGCAACAUCGAUUCUGUUCAGUACCUAGACGGGUGACCACUUGGGAAUACCAGGUGUUGUAAG
Acanthosepion pharaonis is the source of this 110-nucleotide non-coding RNA. Lineage: Eukaryota; Metazoa; Mollusca; Cephalopoda; Sepiida; Sepiidae. The record is from the annotation of a GenBank genome assembly.